RNAcentral lists this ribosomal RNA (107 nucleotides) under Phascolarctos cinereus (koala). The record is from RNAcentral. Lineage: Eukaryota; Metazoa; Chordata; Mammalia; Diprotodontia; Phascolarctidae.
GUGUGCACUAAUUGUGUUGAUUUUGUCUGAUCUCAGAAGCUAAGUGAGGUUGAGACUAGUUAGUACUUAGAUGGGAGACUGCCUGGGAAUAUUGGGUGCUGUAGACA